This is a long non-coding RNA of Rhinopithecus roxellana (golden snub-nosed monkey), 496 nucleotides long. RefSeq lists it as uncharacterized. The transcript is spliced from 2 exons. NCBI's taxonomy places the organism in Eukaryota, Metazoa, Chordata, Mammalia, Primates, Cercopithecidae. The record is from RefSeq and is a predicted model, not a curated record.
GUCACCUCCCGCCAGGCCCCGCCCCCAACCGUGGGAAUGACAGUUCAACAGGAGAUGGGCGACCCAGACCCGGACCACAUCAGUGGCUUUCAGGAGACGUGAGGAGCGAUGCAGGCACGGCCCCCUUGGGAGAAAGUGUCUGCGGGAAGCGCUCUGUGAACUCUGCGACCUCACUGAAGAUCCCCUGCCCCAGGCUCAAGUUAGAGAGAGAGGAGGUCACAGUGCUGGAAUUCCAGCUGGGCAUCCGUCCCAGCUCUGCGCUGAGUGCGUUCAGCCCCGGCUGGAGCUUGUAGACGGCAGCCCUGCAGGAACCCACCAGGGCUGACUCCUUCCUCCCCAGAUCCCACAGAACAACAGUGGAUCUCCACUCGGCACGUGUCCCCUCCACGUUCACAUGAAGUGUCUUUUAGCGGAAAGUGUAUAAACGUGUUAAUUUUGGUUACUGCACUGAAGUGAGGCAAGUUCCUGCAGCUUUAUUAAAUGACCAGUGCUGUCA